CGAAAAUAAAACUGAAAUAUUGAAGAAUCCAAGUGAAACUACAUCAAAAUUUUAAUUUAGUUUUAGUUCUAGAACACCCGAAAGAAUGACAAAUGGAAGGAAGCAAGCAGAUAAGGCCAAAAUCAGCUGUAGAUUUCAUUUGAUUUGGAAUUAUAAUAAUUUACGAAGCCAAGAACUCUGUGCAGUCUCAGAUUGAGACUGCAUGUAAAGAGAACCAUAAAUUUACAGGUAACUCGUAUAUACAAUUUGAUGCUUCCUGAUGGUGCACAACAUUUUCCAACAGAUUUUUAAGUGAGUUGCCCUUUAAGAGCACUAGUAGCCCUUUCAAUGGCUCUAGCAACUCUCCAUAUCUCAUGCUGAAUUGCUGCUUGCUGAUCCCGAGGACUCUUGCCUGUGGAACCAGAAAUAGCAUCCGCUAUACCAGGGAAGAAAUCCAGUUUGCUUUCGUAGUCACCAGGAGGCCCAUAAAUCUACAAAAGAUCAGUUAAGAAUAUGUUAUCGAGUCACUAGCACUUCAUGGGGUUUACAGUAGUAUUUCUUGCAAGAUGAAACGUUAUUCCACAAGCCUUUUCUACACUUUCAACGUUCUAUAAAAUUGGCAUUAAGAAUGGACCUUAAUUAGAAAUAUUAAGAUAUUGUUUCAUUGAGCAAAUUUAUACGUUAUUCAUCCACAGAACCAUAAUACCUGAUAUUUGAAUGCCAAAUUUGACCAUUAUGAAAUGGGAUGGUCCUUUAUUUUGUUUUUUAAAUCAAAUGGACCAUUCCAUUUAGACAAACCUACCAGUUCUGGUAAUGAACCACAGGCAAGGUAACUUCACUUACAAGAUGCUUAAACCAAUGCCGUCCUCGCAGCCCAUCUGCAUCCAAGAAGCCUCUUUCAGCAAGCAUCAGCCGGUCAUUUAACGCACGCAACUUCAAAGCCAAAUUAUCACCCCUCCUUUCUUGCCAUCUCAAUUGCCUUGCUUCAUCUUCAGCUUCUUUAGCAGCCAAGGUGAAUUCUUGAAUCGAAGUGAUUAAAGGAUUGAGAGAGAUGCUUUGAACCAAUAAAUUGCUCAACACAUCUUUAUGCCCCUCUAGUUGCUCUGCAUAAGAUAGGUAAUCAAAAGGAAGAAUAGAAUCAUCAGACAGGUGAAGGGCUACAAGUCCCCAUACCCCAGCAACAGCCACGUGACGAUGAAAUAAAGGAUCUCCAUGCUUUGUCAUCCAAUCAUAGGAGUCAAAAGCAGUGUGAUACACAGGGAAAUCUCUUCCAUAAUAUAUAUCAAUAGAAGGAACCCCUGCAUGUUGCAGAAAUGGGACAAAGUCAGAAUCAACUCCACUGAGUCUCUCAAUACUAAUGACUUGAUUUGUGGCUGCCCACUUCUCAAAAACUGUUGCACCCUCAGAGUCCGGAUCCUUGACCUUCUUUGUAACCUCGCGAAGAAGAUUAUCUAGCUGAGGAGUUGCACCAGCAAAGAAUCCUGGCCCUUGAACUGCACAAUCAACAUUAAGGUAGGCCACUACUUUGGCACCCAAGUUGACAAGAUUCUGUUCAACCCACUCAGUAGAUCCUACCAUCCCGAACUCUUCUGCAUCCCAACUACAGAGGAUAAUUGUUCUUCGAGGUUUCCACCCCAUCCGCAUCAAAAGAGAAAAUCGUCGAGCAAUGUCAAGUAAUGCAGCAGUCCCACUGUUAGGGUCAACAGCCCCAUAUGUCCAUGCAUCUCUAUGGUUGCCAAGUAUCACAUAACGAUCAGGCUCUUCUAAUCCCCUUAUAACAGCGAAGACAUUAUGGAUUGUCCCCUCCUUUUUCUCCCCCUGGUAAGUGAACUUGACCAGGGUCGGACCAGGCCCAACCAUAGACAGACCCGAAUCCCUCCACUCCCGCGGCACCAUAGGACCUCUUAGGGACCCCAAGAUGACGUCAGCAGUCUCGCAGGACAAGGGCAAGGAUGGGAUUUUGGGGAACCUCUCCAAGACCUCACUAUCCUCCAAGCCCAACCUUUCUCCUCCCUUAACUCCUGCCCACCCCGGGCUCAGUGGGUCCCCCACUCCCCUCAUAACAGUCCCUCUCUCUACUCCUCUUCCUCCUCUCUUCCCAUCCCUCUCCACGUACAAUAGCACUGCCAACGCCCCUUUAGAUUCAGCUAUUUUAACCACUCCCCCUCUACUCAACCCACCAACUUUCCUCGCCAAAACCACGCACCCGCUAACAUUCACCCCCAACGCUUCAAGCGAACGGUAGUCCUCCUCACGCCCGUAAUUAACAAACACCACCUUAGCAUGCGCCGCACCGGACGGAGAAUAAGCAUGGUAUGGCGGCACAACGUCGGGACCGACUUUCCCAGAAAUCUCAGUCAAUGAAAAAUUAACAGCGCUACCGUUAGCGAAAUGCGCGACGAGCGAGGCGUGCGAAGGAUACGAAAGAAGCGCCGUGUACUCCACCUUGUGAGUCUCAAGAUUAUGAUUCUUAAAAUGAGAGUAAACGUAAUCAGUGGUGUCAAGAGAUGGUUGGGUUCCCGCGAGAUGAGGGUGGAGGGUGAGAGCGCGGAGGUAGGAGGCAAGGGUAAAGUUGGAGGAAAAAGACAGGAAGAGGUUGCGGUAACGAAGGGCAGAUUUGGGUUCCCUAGGGUUGGGGUGAGGGUGGUGGAGAGUAUAAAAGCCGAGAAUGCAGAGGAGGAGGAAGAAGAGGAAAGUACAGAGAGGUGGCGGUGGUUUGGAAGCGGAGGAGAACAAAGAGGCGGUGGGUUUGGUAAUGGGCGGAGACAUUUCCAAAGUCUAGAGGGAGAAGAAGUUCAGCUUAGGGGUAAGGGGGAGAAGUGGAGUGAAGUGUAUGGAGGUUGUGAGUGGUGGGUGCAGAGAUU
RNAcentral lists this unclassified non-coding RNA (2843 nucleotides) under Hevea brasiliensis (rubber tree). Lineage: Eukaryota; Viridiplantae; Streptophyta; Magnoliopsida; Malpighiales; Euphorbiaceae. The record is from RNAcentral.